UCUAGUAUAAACUGCUUUAUACUGUGAAACUGCGAAUGGCUCAUUAAAUCAGUUAUAGUUUAUUUGAUGGUACUUACUUACUCGGAUACCCGUAGUAAUUCUAGAGCUAAUACGUGCGUACAUCCCGACUUCUGGAAGGGACGUAUUUAUUAGAUAAAAGGCCGACCGGGCUUGCCCGACUCGCGGUGACUCAUGAUAACUUCACGAAUCGCAUGGCCUUGCGCCGGCGAUGUUUCAUUCAAAUUUCUGCCCUAUCAACUUUUGAUGGUAGGAUAGAGGCCUACCAUGGUGGUAACGGGUGACGGAGAAUUAGGGUUCGAUUCCGGAGAGGGAGCCUGAGAAACGGCUACCACAUCCAAGGAAGGCAGCAGGCGCGCAAAUUACCCAAUCCUGAUACAGGGAGGUAGUGACAAUAAAUAACAAUACCGGGCCUUUGGUCUGGUAAUUGGAAUGAGUACAACCUAAACACCUUAACGAGGAUCAAUUGGAGGGCAAGUCUGGUGCCAGCAGCCGCGGUAAUUCCAGCUCCAAUAGCGUAUAUUUAAGUUGCUGCAGUUAAAAAGCUCGUAGUUGGAUUUCGGGUGGGAAUGGCCGGUCCGCCGUUUCGGUGUGCACUUGCUACGCCCACCUUGCUGCCGGGGACGUGCUCUUGAGUUUGCGCUCGGGACACGGAGUCGGCGAGGUUACUUUGAGUAAAUUAGAGUGUUCAAAGCAGGCCUACGCUCUGAAUACAUUAGCAUGGAAUAACACGAUAGGACUCUGGCCUAUCUUGUUGGUCUGUAGGACCGGAGUAAUGAUUAAGAGGGACAGUCGGGGGCAUUCGUAUUUCAUUGUCAG
RNAcentral lists this ribosomal RNA (837 nucleotides) under uncultured eukaryote. RNAcentral describes it as "SSU rRNA". It matches the Rfam family "Eukaryotic small subunit ribosomal RNA", at positions 59 to 908 of the family's 1831-position model. The record is from RNAcentral.